RNAcentral lists this ribosomal RNA (1445 nucleotides) under uncultured Oxalobacteraceae bacterium. RNAcentral's name for it is "partial 16S ribosomal RNA". Lineage: Bacteria; Pseudomonadati; Pseudomonadota; Betaproteobacteria; Burkholderiales; Oxalobacteraceae. The record is from RNAcentral.
UCACCCCAGUCACGAAUCCUACCGUGGUAAGCGCCCUCCUUGCGGUUAAGCUACCUACUUCUGGUAAAACCCGCUCCCAUGGUGUGACGGGCGGUGUGUACAAGACCCGGGAACGUAUUCACCGCGACAUGCUGAUCCGCGAUUACUAGCGAUUCCAACUUCAUGUAGUCGAGUUGCAGACUACAAUCCGGACUACGAUACACUUCCUGGGAUUAGCUCCCCCUCGCGGGUUGGCGGCCCUCUGUAUGUACCAUUGUAUGACGUGUGAAGCCCUACCCAUAAGGGCCAUGAGGACUUGACGUCAUCCCCACCUUCCUCCGGUUUGUCACCGGCAGUCUCAUUAGAGUGCUCUUUCGUAGCAACUAAUGACAAGGGUUGCGCUCGUUGCGGGACUUAACCCAACAUCUCACGACACGAGCUGACGACAGCCAUGCAGCACCUGUGUGACGGCUCUCUUUCGAGCACCCUCAGAUCUCUCCGAGGUUCCGUCCAUGUCAAGGGUAGGUAAGGUUUUUCGCGUUGCAUCGAAUUAAUCCACAUCAUCCACCGCUUGUGCGGGUCCCCGUCAAUUCCUUUGAGUUUUAAUCUUGCGACCGUACUCCCCAGGCGGUCUACUUCACGCGUUAGCUGCGUUACCAAGUUAAUUAAAACCCGACAAACUAGUAGACAUCGUUUAGGGCGUGGACUACCAGGGUAUCUAAUCCUGUUUGCUCCCCACGCUUUCGUGCAUGAGCGUCAAUCUUGACCCAGGGGGCUGCUUUCGCCAUCGGCGUUCCUCCACAUCUCUACGCAUUUCACUGCUACACGUGGAAUUCUACCCCCCUCUGCCAGAUUCUAGCCUUGCAGUCUCCAUCGCAAUUCCCAGGUUGAGCCCGGGGAUUUCACGACAGACUUACAAAACCGCCUGCGCACGCUUUACGCCCAGUAAUUCCGAUUAACGCUUGCACCCUACGUAUUACCGCGGCUGCUGGCACGUAGUUAGCCGGUGCUUAUUCUUCAGGUACCGUCAUCAGCAAAGGAUAUUAGCCUUCACCGUUUCUUCCCUGACAAAAGAGCUUUACAACCCGAAGGCCUUCUUCACUCACGCGGCAUUGCUGGAUCAGGCUUUCGCCCAUUGUCCAAAAUUCCCCACUGCUGCCUCCCGUAGGAGUCUGGACCGUGUCUCAGUUCCAGUGUGGCUGGUCGUCCUCUCAGACCAGCUACUGAUCGAUGCCUUGGUAGGCCUUUACCCCACCAACUAGCUAAUCAGAUAUCGGCCGCUCCAGGAGCAUGAGGUCUUGCGAUCCCCCACUUUCAUCCUUAGAUCGUAUGCGGUAUUAGCGUAACUUUCGCUACGUUAUCCCCCACUCCAGGGUACGUUCCGAUAUAUUACUCACCCGUUCGCCACUCGCCGCCAGGUUGCCCCGCGCUGCCGUUCGACUUGCAUGUGUAAGGCAUGCCGCCAG